Molecule: long non-coding RNA, 696 nt
Organism: Coregonus clupeaformis (lake whitefish)
Lineage: Eukaryota; Metazoa; Chordata; Actinopteri; Salmoniformes; Salmonidae
Exons: 4
Source: RefSeq, a predicted model, not a curated record
GUUUCUAAGACUGCAGGGUGGGAGAUGCAACAAUGGCCUUGAGAACAGCAGGAAGUGUGUUGGUGGUCUUUCUCUGGUCUGUAGCAGCUGUACUGGGGCAGAAUGGCUGGAGUGUGACUAACACCACAGUAUUUGUACCUUGAAGGGGUCAUCAGUGGAACUGUCCUGCUCUUACACAUAUCCCAGUUGGUAUAAAGUCACAACAACCUUCUGGUUCACCAAAAUUGUUGCUGUGGAGAAUUAUGUGAGUCUGAGUGAUGACCCAGUAUACAAAGGUCGUGUGACGUACCAUAGAGAUAAGAAGAAUGGCCACACCCUGACAAUCACAGACCUGAGAGAGAGUGACUCCACUACGUACAAGUUCAGAUUUAUUACAGAUCAGACCGAAGGGAUCCUGGAGUCACUUUGUCUGUUACAGACCUGCAGGUGAAGGUGACCACUACAUGGUGGUCAACGACACUGACCUGUAGCACCACCUGUACUCUGACUGACAACCCCAACCCCACCUACAUCUGGUACAGGAACAGUAAGAUUGUACAAGAGGACUCCUCCCUCUCAUACUCAGUCUACUUAAAAACUGAAGACAGCUUCUACUGUGCUGUAAAAGGCAUCAAUUCUCCUGCAGUGUAUGUUGGGGGUCACAGUUAUUUCCACGUGACUUACACCCAUCAGAGUAUCUGUACCUUGAAGGGGUCA